RNA transcript from Arachis duranensis, 2294 nucleotides. It is a transcript of the gene named UDP-glucuronate 4-epimerase 2, with no coding region annotated. The transcript has 3 exons. NCBI's taxonomy places the organism in Eukaryota, Viridiplantae, Streptophyta, Magnoliopsida, Fabales, Fabaceae. The record is from RefSeq and is a predicted model, not a curated record.
AAAUCAAAUCAAAAUGCUCUUGUUGCUUUCGUAUUCAUUGGAUUUGACUCUUGUUCAACUGCAAACCCUGUUUUUAUCUUUUAUCUUUAUCCUAUCCUAUUCUCCCUUGCUUCCACUCUUCUCACACACACACACUCCAAUUCAAUUUAAUUCAACACAUAAUUGGAAAGUACUUAUCCACCCCGACUCAUCUCCAAACCUUUUACCUCCCAACGAAUUUACAUACAAAAACAAAUCAUCCCACAUUAACGCUUUCUCUUACUUUUUCUUUUUCUUUUUUUUUUUUUUCAGAGUCAUACAUAUUCCCAUAAUAAUUGACCCCAAAUCCAACAACAAUGAUCAUAAAUCACAAACAUAACACAUUUGCAGCAAAACAAAGAGAGCAACCGACACAACAUAGUGAACUCUGAACAUACAUUAAACAUUAUUCUUUUUCUUUUCUUUUGCUUCAAUGGUGGAUAAGCCAAUGAGCAAUCACAGAUCCCGUUUCCCUUUCUCCAUCAACAAGCUCAUCUUCUGGUCUCUCAUCUCCCUCGCCGUCAUCCUCUUCUUCUUCGUCGGAUCUCCACCUUCCACCGCCACCACCACCACCUCCUCCUCCCACUCCCGCCGCUCCCUCCGCGGCGGUCCUCAGUGGCAAACCUCCGUCAUUCGCUCUUCUACGCCGUCAAAUCCCAAAGGUCUCCGCGUCCUAGUCACCGGCGCCGCCGGCUUUGUCGGCAGCCAUGUCUCAGUGGCACUCAAGCGCCGCGGCGACGGCGUUGUCGGCGUCGACAACUUCAAUCGCUACUACGACCCAUCGUUAAAACGUUCACGCGCCGAUCUACUAACGCGUGAGGGCGUGUUCGUUGUGGAAGGCGAUAUCAACGAUUCAUCGCUCUUGAAAUCGCUCUUCAAGCUCGUGAAGUUCACGCACGUGAUGCACCUCGCGGCACAAGCCGGAGUUCGUUACGCCAUGAAGAACCCUUCCUCUUACAUCCACAGCAACAUCGCAGGCUUCGUGAACCUUCUAGAAACUUGCAAGAGCGUGAACCCUCAACCCGCUAUAGUCUGGGCUUCUUCAAGCUCCGUUUACGGCCUCAACUCGAAGGUUCCAUUCUCCGAGAAAGAUCGUACGGACCAACCCGCAAGCUUAUACGCCGCAACGAAGAAAGCAGGUGAAGAAAUCGCGCACACUUAUAACCAUAUCUAUGGACUUUCCAUGACAGGCUUGAGAUUCUUCACUGUUUAUGGACCUUGGGGGAGGCCUGACAUGGCGUAUUUCUUCUUCACGAGGGACAUUCUGAAGGGAAAACAGAUUCAGAUAUUUGAAGGCGCAGAGCAUAGAUCGGUGGCGAGGGAUUUUACUUACAUUGAUGAUAUUGUGAAAGGUUGUUUGGGGGCUUUGGAUACUGCUGAGAAGAGCACUGGGAGUGGUGGCAAGAAGAGUGGGCCUGCGCAGUUGCGGAUUUUUAAUCUUGGAAAUACUGCUCCGGUGCCGGUUGGGAAGCUGGUGAGUAUUCUGGAGAAGUUGUUGAAGGUUCAUGCCAAGAAGAAGGUUGUGGCUAUGCCUAGGAAUGGGGAUGUUCCUUUUACACAUGCUGAUAUAAGUUUGGCCAAGAAAGAGAUUGGGUAUAAGCCUGGUACCGAUUUGGAGAAGGGUUUGAACAAGUUUGUGACUUGGUAUUUGGCUUAUUAUUCUAAUGAAUCUGGGAAGAAAGAUAGGCUAAGUUCUUGGUGAUGUCAAUUUGAAUCAUUUUCUUUGGGGAAUUCUACUUUUGUAUUCAUUUUUCGCUGUCUAUAGUUGUACACACACAAUAAUGUGGAUUCAGUUCUGUAGUUCUGUGCAGUAAAAUGCAGGUUCUCUUUCUGUUAGGCUCAUCUCUGACCAACCUUUUUACCUGACAUGAAAUCAAAGUUUAUACAAGCACGUAUGUGAGAACAGAAUUAGCAGUCUAAAAUGGGGAGAAUUCUGAUUUGCAUGCGUCCACAUUUCACAGACCACAGAUUGAGACCCAAAGAAUGGUUAGGCUUGUGUCAUUAAAUGGGGACAAGAAACAAGAAUCAUAUCUCGAUCUAGAUUUUUUUUAUAAAUUUUUUGUGUUUUUGACUUUUCCUCUAUUCUGGUUUAGAUGCCAUUCUUUGGAUGCUGGAGCUCACAUGAUGCAACUACUUUCUGCUGCAUGCUGAGUUGGAUUCAUAUGCAUAAUGCAUAUUACUCGUUUUCACAUGUUUCAUAUUUGGUAUUAAAAAGAACAAGGAGUAAAAAUAAUGAAUUCAUAUGGUUAUUUUAAAAGUGAUCUUACUGAAAAUAA